This 76-nucleotide transfer RNA is filed under the name Candidatus Uhrbacteria bacterium. RNAcentral describes it as "tRNA-Arg". It matches the Rfam family "tRNA". Rfam says of the family: Transfer RNA (tRNA) molecules are approximately 80 nucleotides in length. The record is from RNAcentral. Lineage: Bacteria; Candidatus Uhriibacteriota.
GCGCUCGUAGCUCAACGGAUAGAGCAGGGGCUUUCUAAGCCCAAGGUUGCAGGUUCGAUUCCUGCCGGGCGCACCA